RNAcentral lists this ribosomal RNA (255 nucleotides) under uncultured bacterium. RNAcentral's name for it is "partial small subunit ribosomal RNA". It matches the Rfam family "Bacterial small subunit ribosomal RNA", at positions 26 to 285 of the family's 1533-position model. The record is from RNAcentral.
AGGACGAACGCUGGCGGCGUGCUUAACACAUGCAAGUCGAGCGGAAAGGCCCUUCGGGGUACUCGAGCGGCGAACGGGUGAGUAACACGUGAGCAACCUGCCCUUAGCUCCGGGAUAGCUCCGGGAAACCGGAAAUUAAUACCGGAUACGACCACGGCCGACAUCUGCUGUGGUGGAAAGGAUUCCGGCUAAGGAUGGGCUCGCGGCCUAUCAGCUAGUUGGUGGAGUAACGGCCCACCAAGGCGACGACGGGUA